Long non-coding RNA from Equus caballus (horse), 2097 nucleotides. The record is from Ensembl. NCBI's taxonomy places the organism in Eukaryota, Metazoa, Chordata, Mammalia, Perissodactyla, Equidae.
GCAGGAGCGCGGGCAGGGAGCGGCGCGAGGGAGCGAGGCGUGCUCGGGAGAUGAAUCAGGAGUUCAGUGGAGAGGAUUAAACGCGAGCCGGCACGAGGCGAGCCCAGAAGCUUGGAGACCCGCAGUUGUUUACACCGACCUUUUAAUACCUUCUUAGCCAGAAAUAGAAGCAGAGGGAGAUGGAGAGAAAAGGUGUAUCAGACCAUUUGCUCCUCCAACGGCAGUUUCGAUAGUUUCUUUCAUGUUCUCUGUAUGUUUAGACUUUAAUUUUAACUAAUGUUCUAAAGCUUUGACCUGUCUGGCUCAUCUAAUAUUAAAAAUCAAUCCCCAAAGUAGCUGAAGACUCGAAGGAACAGCUCGAAAGAAUCAAAUGAACCAGUACCUGCAGAACAAUAGACAGUGCAGUGCGUCUGUUGUCAGGCUGCUGCCUCGUAGAGACCAGGACUCGGCAACGCUGGGUGCAGAGGUGUGCUGGGGGAGGUUAACAGCCGGCUCUCUGGGGCAGCCCUGGUUUGUACUUUUUGCUAAUUUCUAUGGUGUCAAUAUUUUCACCAUGGCUUAUUUCCAUUUACCAGAGUGAUGUCAACUGGCUUGCACAAUUUCUGAAAAUGUAACAAUUGGCUCUUGUGAGCCAGUACUGGGGAGCUCUAGCAUGUCAAGAACUGGGUUCUCUGCCAGCUCUGACACCAAACUAGUGGUGGAACUUUGCCCACCUCACUGGGCCUGGCGUUCCUCAUGGGAUGAAAGGGUUGGAGCUGGGCUUAAACUUUGGUGGUUAAAAAUUGUGCCUUGUCUUGCCUUGGUGGCUUCAGAGAGGAUUCUUGGGGGCUGCUCUGGAAGGGGGUAUUUGGGAGGUGCUGAGCUGUUAGGAUUCUGGCUCUUUAUAUCUUGGAACUUCAACUUUCCAGAGCUGUCCUGACCCUGUCAUAGAGUGUUUUAGAUUUCUGUGUAAGGUACUGUUUGAAGAGAAGCUUCUAUUACAGAGGGGAAAAAAAAAUCAGAAAACUGCUUGAAUAAUUGAUCUUAAAGAGCCUUUUCAUUUAUAAAAAUUGAUGAUUCUGGGGCCGGCCCGUGGCACAGUGGUUAAGUGUGAACGUUCUGCUUCGGCGGCCUGGGGUUCCCCAGUUGGAUCCCGGGUGCGGACAUGGCACCGCUUGGCAAGCCAUGCUGUGGUAGGCGUUCCACAUAGAAAGUAGAGGAAGAUGGGCACGGAUAUUAGCUCAGGGCCAGUCUUCCUCAGCAAAAAGAGGAGGAUUGGCAGCAGAUGUUAGCUCAGGGCUAAUCUUCCUCAAAAAAAAAAUUGAUGAUUAUAUGAAACUAAAAAUGUGAGUCAAACAUCGAUACACCAAUGUCUGUGGACAGUACUGUACUGACAAUGGUACUUUCUCUUUCUUGGUUAAAUCUAAAACUAAACACUGGCUGAAAGAGUCAACCAUGCCUGAGGAAUUGCAUCCACUGAAUUAUAGAUGUUUUUAAAAUGAGAAGGAUCCUAGAGAUGAUUUCCUCCAAGAGUUUUCAAAUAUGCUUGAAGGGUUCAUCAGAGCCCUCUCAGAUGGUGCCCUUGUGUGUGUGUGUGUGUGUGUGUGUAAACACGUGUAUACACUAAACAGGUUGUAAUCCCCUUGUGCCCCCUCCCUUCCCCCGCUGCCAUGCUCUCUUCAACAGAGAAGCAGCUUUUAUGUUUUAAAUAUGCUUCCUAUGUUGUAAACAUUGGGCUUCCAUACAAGACUGCAUUUGAGGAAUGUCUUCUGCUGUGCGGGGUGGGGGAAAUAAGUAAAGGCAUCUGAUUAAUACUAUUUGCUUUGUUUAACAAACCAGAAACCAAGCAUUAAAAGAGUGCUUUAUCCACUAUUCCACAACCAUUAAGGGGUAGACUCAUGUCUGGAAUUCAGGUCUCUAGGUUUCCAGGGCAUUAUUUCUCUUUUUCAAAAGCUUGGCUACCUGGAACCACUACUUUCUAUUAAACGACUCUAAAUAAUAAGUAAUCUAAGCCUAUAUUGUCCAGAAGCGUAGACACAAUCCACAUGUGACUUGAUUGAGAUGUGUUGUAACUGUAAAAUAUACACUGUGUCCAAGUCUUAAUACAAAAGAGUAAUG